CGGCGGCGACGGAGGGCUACGUGGUAGCGGCGCGACGGACGAUGGCGACGGCACAGGUGACACGACGGUGGCGGUGCGAACAGCUCCUCCUCCCCUAGCGCUCUCCCUCUCUCACGGGUCUUCUUCU
Molecule: non-coding RNA, 127 nt
Organism: Arachis ipaensis
Lineage: Eukaryota; Viridiplantae; Streptophyta; Magnoliopsida; Fabales; Fabaceae
Source: RefSeq, a predicted model, not a curated record